AUACGUAGGUGGCAAGCGUUAUCCGGAUUUAUUGGGUUUAAAGGGAGCGUAGGUGGAUUGUUAAGUCAGUUGUGAAAGUUUGCGGCUCAACCGUAAAAUUGCAGUUGAAACUGGCAGUCUUGAGUACAGUAGAGGUGGGCGGAAUUCGUGGUGUAGCGGUGAAAUGCUUAGAUAUCACGAAGAACUCCGAUUGCGAAGGCAGCUCACUAGACUGUUACUGACACUGAUGCUCGAAAGUGUGGGUAUCAAACAGGAUUAGAUACCCUGGUAGUCCACACAGUAAACGAUGAAUACUCGCUGUUUGCGAUAUACAGUAAGCGGCCAAGCGAAAGCAUUAAGUAUUCCACCUGGGGAGUACGCCGGCAACGGUGAAACUCAAAGGAAUUGGCGGG
Molecule: ribosomal RNA, 392 nt
Filed under: uncultured bacterium
Lineage: Bacteria
Description: partial 16S ribosomal RNA
Rfam family: Bacterial small subunit ribosomal RNA
Source: RNAcentral